This 776-nucleotide ribosomal RNA is filed under the name uncultured Candidatus Nitrosocosmicus sp. RNAcentral's name for it is "bacterial SSU rRNA". It matches the Rfam family "Archaeal small subunit ribosomal RNA", at positions 76 to 855 of the family's 1478-position model. Lineage: Archaea; Thermoproteati; Nitrososphaerota; Nitrososphaeria; Nitrososphaerales; Nitrososphaeraceae. The record is from RNAcentral.
AUGUGGCAUACGGCUCAGUAACACGUAGUCAACAUGCCCAGGGGACGUGGAUAACCUCGGGAAACUGAGGAUAAACCGCGAUAAGUCACUACUUCUGGAAUGGGUAAUGACUCAAAUCUACAUGGCCCCUGGAUUGGACUGCGGCCGAUCAGGCUGUUGGUGAGGUAAUGGCCCACCAAACCUGUAACCGGUACGGGCUCUGAGAGGAGGAGCCCGGAGAUGGGCACUGAGACAAGGGCCCAGGCCCUAUGGGGCGCAGCAGGCGCGAAACCUCUGCAAUAGGCGAAAGCCUGACAGGGUUACUCUGAGUGAUUUCCGUUAAGGAGAUCUUUUGGCACCUCUAAAAAUGGUGCAGAAUAAGGGGUGGGCAAGUCUGGUGUCAGCCGCCGCGGUAAUACCAGCACCCCGAGUGGUCGGGACGUUUAUUGGGCCUAAAGCAUCCGUAGCCGGUUCUACAAGUCUUCCGUUAAAUCCACCUGCUUAACAGAUGGGCUGCGGAAGAUACUAUAGAGCUAGGAGGCGGGAGAGGCAAGCGGUACUCGAUGGGUAGGGGUAAAAUCCGUUGAUCCAUUGAAGACCACCAGUGGCGAAGGCGGCUUGCCAGAACGCGCUCGACGGUGAGGGAUGAAAGCUGGGGGAGCAAACCGGAUUAGAUACCCGGGUAGUCCCAGCUGUAAACGAUGCAGACUCGGUGAUGAGUUGGCUUAUUGCUAACUCAGUGCCGCAGGGAAGCCGUUAAGUUUGCCGCCUGGGGAGUACGGUCGCAAGACUGAAAC